AUGAUGGAGAGUUUGAUCCUGGCUCAGGACGAACGCUGGCGGCGUGGAUUAGGCAUGCAAGUCGAACGGUAUGGUGCUUUCGGGCAUCAGAGAGUGGCGAACGGGUGAGUAACACGUAGGUUAUCUACCCUCAAGACGGGGACAACCCAGGGAAACUUGGGCUAAUACCGGAUGAAAGCAACCGUGAGGUUGUUUAAAAGAUGGCUUUAAGCUGUCGCUUGGGGAUGAGCCUGCGUCCUAUUAGUUAGUUGGUGAGGUAACGGCUCCCCAAGGCAAUGAUAGGUAGGCGGCCUUAACGGGUGGUCGCCCACACUGGGAUUGAGAAACGGCCCAGACUCCUACGGGAGGCAGCAGUCGAGAAUAGUCUACAAUGGCCGAAAGGCUGAUAGUGCGACGCCGCGUGAACGAGGAAUCCCUUCGGGGUGUAAAGUUCUUUUAUAUGUGAGCAGUGCCGGCUAUAUUAAUAGUAUAGUUGGAGAGAUAUUAGCAUAUGAAUAAGCAACGGCUAACUCCGUGCCAGCAGCCGCGGUAACACGGGGGUUGCAAGCGUUGUCCGGAAUUACUAGGCGUAAAGGGCAGGCAGGCGGACCUGCAAGUUUUCUGUUAAAGACGUCAGCUCAACUGGCGCACGGCAGGAGAUACUGCAGGUCUUGAAUGCGGUUGGGGAAGACAGAAUUCCUGGUGUAGCGGUGGAAUGCGCAGAGAUCAGGAGGAAUACCAAAGGCGAAGGCAGUCUUCCAAGCCGUUAUUGACGCUGAACUGCGAAGGUGUGGGUAUCAAACAGGAUUAGAUACCCUGGUAGUCCACACAGUAAACGAUAAUCACUAGGUGUCGGUUUCGUAUAGGAUUCGGUGCCGUAGCUAACGCGUUAAGUGAUUCGCCUGGGGAGUACGAUCGCAAGGUUGAAACUCAAAGGAAUUGACGGGGGCCCGCACAAGCGGUGGAGCAUGUGGUUUAAUUCGAGGCA
Molecule: ribosomal RNA, 967 nt
Filed under: Candidatus Cloacimonadota bacterium
Lineage: Bacteria; Pseudomonadati; Candidatus Cloacimonadota
Also listed under: 1 other name
Description: bacterial SSU rRNA
Rfam family: Bacterial small subunit ribosomal RNA
Source: RNAcentral